UACGAAGGGGGCUAGCGUUGCUCGGAAUCACUGGGCCUAAAGGGUGCGUAGGCGGGUCUUUAAGUCAGGGGUGAAAUCCUGGAGCUCAACUCCAGAACUGCCUUUGAUACUGAGGAUCUUGAGUUCGGGAGAGGUGAGUGGAACUGCUAGUGUAGAGGUGAAAUUCGUAGAUAUUCGGAAGAACACCAGUGGCGAAGGCGGCUCACUGGCCCGGUACUGACGCUGAGGUGCGAAAGCGUGGGGAGCAAGCAGG
RNAcentral lists this ribosomal RNA (253 nucleotides) under uncultured bacterium. RNAcentral describes it as "partial 16S ribosomal RNA". It matches the Rfam family "Bacterial small subunit ribosomal RNA", at positions 524 to 776 of the family's 1533-position model. The record is from RNAcentral.